Molecule: microRNA, 21 nt
Filed under: Dasypus novemcinctus (nine-banded armadillo)
Lineage: Eukaryota; Metazoa; Chordata; Mammalia; Cingulata; Dasypodidae
Also listed under: 11 other names
Description: dno-miR-656-5p
Gene: dno-miR-656-5p
Source: miRBase by way of RNAcentral
AGGUUGCCUGUGAGGUGUUCA